Long non-coding RNA from Fukomys damarensis (Damara mole-rat), 372 nucleotides. RefSeq lists it as uncharacterized. NCBI's taxonomy places the organism in Eukaryota, Metazoa, Chordata, Mammalia, Rodentia, Bathyergidae. The record is from RefSeq and is a predicted model, not a curated record. The transcript has 3 exons.
GCAUUGAGCUGUAUCUCCAGGCUUUUUAAAUUUUGAGACAGGAACAGGGGACCAAGGAAAAACACUGGUGACUGGCAACGAGAACCUGGUUGAGUUCGGAGAAUGCACGUAUGAUGCAUCUUACAGUUCUCUUACAUUGCCUCAGAGUCCGGCGCCACCGUGGGAUAAGAUGGUCAGUGCUUAGCUGUGAAAGAGCUCUUGCUGAAUUCUGAUGAAUCCCACUCUUCCUCAAGCACUGCUUUCAAAAGCACUGGCUGUGAGGCCUCUCAGUUGGGCCGUCUGGCUACCUGGAGGUCGGGAAGUCACAAAGCUCUCCCCACAUUCCACCAUUCACCAGGAUCAUUCUGCAAGGUUUGUAACCUUGCCAGUCGG